UGACCCCCUCCUCUGGCCUCCUGCAGUCCUCAAGCUGCCCUCUCACAGUACCUAUGACACUUGUCCUCUCCUCCUCCUUCCCUCCCCCAAGGAAGUGAGGUCAGAGGGCAGGUUGCAGGGGCUGCUCCUCUCUGCCUGGCCCUGGGCCCCUGCAGAGGGAGAGGGUGGCAGGCUCUGGGCAGCUGGCGGUUGGGACUAAACCCAGGGCUUAGGGGUGGAGGCUGGAUCCUGUCCCCAGUGGAAGUGUCCCUUUAAUAGCUGCUGGCCUGCCGGCUUGGGCGCCUGCUUUAUCUCCUUUUCAGCUGUGGCUGCAGCUGCCGUGCUGACUCAUGCGCCCCAGCAGACAGCAGGAGCUGGAAGCAUGGGCUCCUCUGGGGCCCUGUCCGGCUGGGGACUUCUGGAUUACAAAACGAAGAAGUAUGUGAUAACGAGGAACUGGCGGGUGGGCGCCCUGCAGAGGUUGCUGCAGCUCGGGGCCCUGGCCUACGUGGUGGGGUGGGCUCUACUCGCCAAAAAAGGCUACCAGGAGCGAGAUCUGGACCCCCAGAUUUCCGUCAUCACCAAACUCAAAGGAGUUUCUGUGACCCAGAUCAAGGAGAUGGGUAAUCGGCUGUGGGACGUGGCAGACUUUGUGAAGCCACCACAGGGAGAGAAUGUGUUCUUCUUGGUGACCAAUUUUCUUGUGACACCAGAACAAGUUCAAGACAGAUGUCCAGAGCACCCCUCCAUCCCUCUGGCUAACUGCUGGGCUGAUGAGGACUGUCCGGAAGGGGAGACAGGGACACAUAGCCACGGCAUAAAAACGGGCCAAUGUGUAGAAUUCAACGGGACCCACAAGACCUGUGAGAUCCAGGCCUGGUGUCCUGUGGAGAGCAGCACUGUGCCCGUCAGGAAGCCUCUACUGGUCCAGGCAGAGAAUUUCACCUUGUUCAUCAAGAACACUGUCACCUUCAGCAAGUUCAACUUUUCCAAGUCCAAUGCCUUGGACACCUGGGACGCCACUUAUUUCAAGCGCUGUCUCUACGACUCUCGCUACAGCCCCUACUGCCCUGUGUUCCGCAUUGGGGAUCUCGUGGCUGCAGCUGGAGGAGUCUUUGAGGACCUGGCAUUGCUGGGAGGUGCUGUGGGCGUCCGAGUCCACUGGAAUUGUGACCUGGAUGCUGGGGGCUCUGACUGCCGGCCCUACUACUCCUUCCAGCUGCAGGAAACGAGCUACAACUUCAGGACAGCCACUCACUGGUGGAAGCCCUCAGGUGUGGAGGCCCGGAGUCUGCUCAAGCUCUAUGGGAUCCGCUUCGAUAUCCUUGUCACUGGGCAGGCAGGGAAGUUUGGGCUCAUCCCCACGACCAUCACUCUGGGCACCGGAGCAGCGUGGCUGGGUGUGAUCACCUUCCUCUGUGACAUGCUGCUCUUGUAUGUGGACGAAGAAGCCCAUUUCUACUGGAGGACCAAGUACGAGGAGGCAAAGGCCCCAAAGGUGACCACCAACCCUGAGCAGACAGACCCAGCUUCUGCAUCUCCGUGCGUGGCUGCCCAGAUGUCUUAGAGGGAACCCAGUCUGGGGAGCCAGACACCAACACCAGAGUGACCAUGCCAAGCCUCUGGCCCCCCACUCACUGGCAUCCCUGCUUGUUGCAGGGUGGGGGCUCCACUCUGGGGACCUCCUGGAUAAAGCCCCAGCAGGACUAGGGUGUGGGGGAGAGGAGAAUUCCACCCUUCCACUCCCAGACAGACCAUCCCUUCCCUGACUCCAGCUCCAGCAGGAUGCUGUCUGGGGGAGCCAGAGAAGCCAGUUUCAUCUAGAAACCUGCAGCAGAACAGGAGCCACAGAGAAGGGGAGCCCUGGGGGCAUCUAUGUGGCAAGGCAAUGGUCUGGUGGGGCUCCUGCUGUUGGGAGCCAUCCUGAACUCACUGGUUGAGUGAAAAUUCCUGGUAGAGAAUCAGGAGCAGAGAUGAUUGCCUGAUGAUCAGAAAGAAACGAGGCUCUCUCACUCUCUUUCGCUGACACUGUCCAUCCUUCAGGAAACCCUGGACCUGCUGGAGCUGGACUCCGGCAUCCUGCUGUGUCUAGGUCUAAGAACUCUCUCCCAACCUCCAUCACCAGUGUUCUCAGCAUUGGCCUGUUCACCAGCUGUCAGCACUGACCUUCCCAUUGGCUAGGGCAAAUUCCAGCCCUCCUCCCCUACGAGCACUCACAUCUUAAGUAGAACCCCUCCCUUUCAGCUGUGCCACCUGUCAGGGCAUCUGCACAUCCCCAGAAGGAAUGUCCCUAAUAAAGGACCCAAAGAUCCCCAGCAGACUGGCCUGGUAUCUUUUCAGGGUCUGAGUCCUACCUGCUGGAAAAUUACCCCCACCCCCACAGUCAGGAGGGGAGGAACAGAGGUUGCAGGAGUCAAACUCUCUCCUGUCCCAGGGAAGAGGCAAGGAUUUGGGAGUACAUACCCCAGGGAGGCAAGGAGCUUCCUUCUCAUGGGUCCCUGGUGGCCAGGGGUGUGCUGGCAGCUUGGCAGUGGAGUGACAAAGGCCAGUUGCGGAGCAGCAGGGCUGGGGCUCAGGCAAAACUAGCAUCCGGGAGGCACCUGGAACCCCAACAAAGCCUUGGGGUCUCUGAUACUUCUCAGUCCCUAGAGCAAUGUCCAUGGGGAGGCAGGUUCAGAAGAGCCAGGGUGAAAGAACAUGGCUCUGAGGCCUGGUUAUUGGAGUGGGAUCACAUGUAUCUGGUUGUCCUCAGGGCCCAGAGAAAGCUGUCAUAGCUUAAAAAAAAAAGUCAAGGA
This is an RNA transcript of Suricata suricatta (meerkat), 2774 nucleotides long. It is a transcript of the gene named purinergic receptor P2X 6, with no coding region annotated. NCBI's taxonomy places the organism in Eukaryota, Metazoa, Chordata, Mammalia, Carnivora, Herpestidae. The transcript has 13 exons. The record is from RefSeq and is a predicted model, not a curated record.